GUUCUUGAAUUUUCUAACUUCAACUUUUGUUAUCAUUUUUAUUUUUCUCAGUCAAGCUGAGAUUGGAAGGUUUGUUGCCAUGCUAAGAAAUCCGUCUUCCAUACUCAAGGAAUGUGCUGUAUUUGCACUUCUCCAGUUCACGAUUCCGGGUGGCCGGCACACAUCACACCAUGUGACGCUUUUGCAGAACUCUGGAGCGCCACGGAUCCUGCGUGUUGCAUCUGCAGCAGCAGCAGCACCAAUUGAAGCCAAAAUUUUUGCAAGAAUUGUACUUCGAAACCUAGAACACAACCCUAAGGAACUUCAAUCUAAACAGCAGCUCGGAAGUCAGAAAAUAACCUCAACCAGACUCCUCAACAGUGGGUGACAUUUCAAACCUCAAUUAGCUUCCAUCAGCUGGACAGCAGUUUAACCAUGCCUAAGGCGCUGUACAUAGUUUCUGUGUCAUUUUUGUUUUUCUUGUUUUUCGUUUCUGUUUUUAAUCGUAAACAAUAAUAAAGGUCCUUCGGUGGUCAAUGGUUUGAAGACAUUGUCACAAUGAAUAGUUGUUUGGUGUAACUUAUAUGAGCUGUUCAUGUAGCCAUAAGUUAAUAGCUGUUUUUUGAGACUUUAUGGCUUUGACUGAAUUUUUAGUAUCCUUUACUUGGAGAAAUUUUGUUAUUAUCCUGGGAUA
Non-coding RNA from Camellia sinensis, 673 nucleotides. NCBI's taxonomy places the organism in Eukaryota, Viridiplantae, Streptophyta, Magnoliopsida, Ericales, Theaceae. The record is from RefSeq and is a predicted model, not a curated record.